RNAcentral lists this ribosomal RNA (665 nucleotides) under Alexandrium tamarense. Its description in RNAcentral is "eukaryotic LSU rRNA". It matches the Rfam family "Eukaryotic large subunit ribosomal RNA", at positions 43 to 651 of the family's 3401-position model. The record is from RNAcentral. Lineage: Eukaryota; Dinophyceae; Gonyaulacales; Pyrocystaceae.
UAAGUAAGUGGUGGAAAUUAAACCAAAUGGGAUAUCUUUAGUAAUUGCGAAUGAACAAGGAUAUGCUUAGCUUGACAAAUGGAGCUAUUGGCUUUGAAUUGUAUUUGUGGAAUGUAUUACCAACAGAGGUGCAGGUGCCAGCCUAUUAAAUAAAGCGUCAAUGAGGGUGAGAAUCCUGUUUGUCAUGUGCAGCCCUUUGUGCACGGUGUAUAUUUGCUGAGUCACACUCCUUGGCAUUGGAAUGCAAAGUGGGUGGUAAGUUUCAUGUAAAGGUAAACAUGCAAUUGAGACUGAUAGCACACAAGUACCAUGAGGGAAAUAUGAAAAGGACUUUGAAAAGAGAAUUAAAUGAGUUUGUAUUUGCUGAACACAAAGUAAACAGACUUGAUUUGCUUGGUGGGAGUGUUGCACUUGCUUGACAAGAGCUUUGGGCUGUGGGUGUAAUGAUUCUUUCUUUGCAUGCCAGUUUCUAUUUGUACAUCUGAUUACCUUUGCACAUGAAUGAUAAGUCUCCUGUGGGGGGUGGAUUGCAUGUGCAUGUAAUGAUUUGUGUUUUGAUAAAUGUGUCUGGUGUAUGUGUGUGUUCCUGUGCUUGGGGAUGCUUCCUUCCUUGGACUUACAAGCCCUGACACACACAUGCUGGCAAAAUGCUUCUGCUUGACCCG